CGCGGCCUAUCAGCUUGUUGGUGGGGUAAUGGCCUACCAAGGCGGCGACGGGUAGCCGGCCUGAGAGGGUGUACGGCCACAUUGGGACUGAGAUACGGCCCAGACUCCUACGGGAGGCAGCAGUGGGGAAUAUUGCACAAUGGGCGCAAGCCUGAUGCAGCGACGCCGCGUGGGGGAUGGAGGCCUUCGGGUUGUAAACUCCUUUCGCUAGGGACGAAGCUUUUUGUGACGGUACCUAGAUAAGAAGCACCGGCUAACUACGUGCCAGCAGCCGCGGUAAUACGUAGGGUGCGAGCGUUGUCCGGAAUUACUGGGCGUAAAGGGCUCGUAGGUGGUUUGUCGCGUCGUCUGUGAAAUUCUGGGGCUUAACUCCGGGCGUGCAGGCGAUACGGGCAUAACUUGAGUGCUGUAGGGGUAACUGGAAUUCCUGGUGUAGCGGUGAAAUGCGCAGAUAUCAGGAGGAACACCGAUGGCGGAGGCAGGUUACUGGGCAGUUACUGACGCUGAGGAGCGAAAGCAUGGGUAGCGAACAGGAUUAGAUACCCUGGUAGUCCAUGCCGUAAACGGUGGGCGCUAGGUGUGAGGGUCUUUCUACGACUUUCGUGCCGUAGCUAACGCAUUAAGCGCCCCGCCUGGGGAGUACGG
Molecule: ribosomal RNA, 645 nt
Filed under: uncultured bacterium
Lineage: Bacteria
Description: bacterial SSU rRNA
Rfam family: Bacterial small subunit ribosomal RNA
Source: RNAcentral